Molecule: ribosomal RNA, 492 nt
Filed under: uncultured bacterium
Lineage: Bacteria
Description: partial 16S ribosomal RNA
Rfam family: Bacterial small subunit ribosomal RNA
Source: RNAcentral
AGUGAACGCUGGCGGUAGGCCUAACACAUGCAAGUCGAACGGCAGCACAGUAAGAGCUUGCUCUUACGGGUGGCGAGUGGCGGGCGGGUGAGGAAUACAUCGGAAUCUACUUUUUCGUGGGGGAUAACGUAGGGAAACUUACGCUAAUACCGCAUACGACCUACGGGUGAAAGCAGGGGAUCUUCGGACCUUGCGCGAUUGAAUGAGCCGAUGUCGGAUUAGCUAGUUGGAGGGGUAAAGGCCCACCAAGGCGACGAUCCGUAGCUGGUCUGAGAGGAUGAUCAGCCACACUGGAACUGAGACACGGUCCAGACUCCUACGGGAGGCAGCAGUGGGGAAUAUUGGACAAUGGGCGCAAGCCUGAUCCAGCCAUACCGCGUGGGUGAAGAAGGCCUUCGGGUUGUAAAGCCCUUUUGUUGGGAAAGAAAAGCAGCAGGUUAAUACCCCGCUGUUCUGACGGUACCCAAAGAAUAAGCACCGGCUAACUUCGUG